GACGAACGCUGGCGGCGUGCUUAACACAUGCAAGUCGAACGGUGAAGCCCUUCGGGGUGGAUCAGUGGCGAACGGGUGAGUAACACGUGAGCAACCUGCCCCUGGCCCUGGGACAACCACUGGAAACGGUGGCUAAUACCGGAUACGACCCGCCUCGGCAUCGAGUGUGGGUGGAAAGUUUUUCGGCUGGGGAUGGGCUCGCGGGCUAUCAGCUUGUUGGUGGGGUGGAGGUUCACCAAGGCGACGACUGGGAGCCGGCCCGGGGGGGGGACCGGCCCCAACGGGACCGGGACACGGCCCAGAGCCCCACGGGAGGGAGGAGGGGGGAAAAUUGCACAAAGGGGGGAAGCCCGAUGCCGCGGCCCCGGGGGGGGGAAGAAGGCCUUUGGGGUGGAAAACUCUUUUCACCCCGAAAGAGGGGAAGGGACGGGAAGGGGCAAAAAAGGACCGGGCAAACACGGG
Molecule: ribosomal RNA, 462 nt
Filed under: uncultured bacterium
Lineage: Bacteria
Description: partial 16S ribosomal RNA
Rfam family: Bacterial small subunit ribosomal RNA
Source: RNAcentral